GCCAGGCACCGUGGUGCAUGCCUGUAAUCCCAGCGGCUCAGAGGCUGAGGCAGGAGGAUCGCGUGUUCAAAGCCAGCCUCCCAAGCCAAGCAACUCAGUGAGACCCUGUCUCUA
This 114-nucleotide small RNA is filed under the name Marmota monax (woodchuck). Lineage: Eukaryota; Metazoa; Chordata; Mammalia; Rodentia; Sciuridae. The record is from RNAcentral.